UUGGCAUAUAAAAGAUAGUUCUAUUAAUCUUAAUUUGAAGCUGUAUCAUGGUUCUUCUGGCACCUCUGUGGCUCUCAUUCUGCUGGCUUUCUGAACUGUUGUGUUCAACUAAAUAUUAAUCAAUGGCUGUUUUGCGGCUGCCUGAGAACUUCAAACCCACAAAGUCCAUAGUACUUAUACUCUGUUGUAGAGAGCAGGCUCAGGGUUUCCAAUACUUCAUUUCGACUGAAUCACAAAUGUGAUCUUAAGUUCUAGAGUUUGGACUUUUAUACAUUUCCAUAGAUGUCUCUAAGCAUGGUCAAGGUUUAGUAUGCCUAAUUCGAUAUUUG
This 329-nucleotide unclassified non-coding RNA is filed under the name Hevea brasiliensis (rubber tree). The record is from RNAcentral. Lineage: Eukaryota; Viridiplantae; Streptophyta; Magnoliopsida; Malpighiales; Euphorbiaceae.